RNAcentral lists this ribosomal RNA (478 nucleotides) under uncultured bacterium. RNAcentral's name for it is "partial 16S ribosomal RNA". It matches the Rfam family "Bacterial small subunit ribosomal RNA", at positions 355 to 825 of the family's 1533-position model. The record is from RNAcentral.
UAGGGAAUCUUCCACAAUGGACGCAAGUCUGAUGGAGCAACGCCGCGUGAGUGAAGAAGGUUUUCGAAUCGUAAAGCUCUGUUGUUGGUGAAGAAGGAUAGAGGCAGUAACUGGUCUUUAUUUGACGGUAAUCAACCAGAAAGUCACGGCUAACUACGUGCCAGCAGCCGCGGUAAUACGUAGGUGGCAAGCGUUGUCCGGAUUUAUUGGGCGUAAAGCGAGCGCAGGCGGAAUGAUAAGUCUGAUGUGAAAGCCCACGGCUCAACCGUGGAACUGCAUCGGAAACUGUCAUUCUUGAGUGCAGAAGAGGAGAGUGGAACUCCAUGUGUAGCGGUGGAAUGCGUAGAUAUAUGGAAGAACACCAGUGGCGAAGGCGGCUCUCUGGUCUGCAACUGACGCUGAGGCUCGAAAGCAUGGGUAGCGAGCAGGAUUAGAUACCCUGGUAGUCCAUGCCGUAAACGAUGAGCGCUAGGUGUUG